GGUAAAAUGGCUGAGUAAUUAAGCGAUAAAUUGUAAAUUUAUAAACGAAUAUUUAAAUUCUUUUACCA
RNAcentral lists this transfer RNA (68 nucleotides) under Aloconota currax. Its description in RNAcentral is "tRNA-Tyr". It matches the Rfam family "tRNA". From Rfam's summary of the family: Transfer RNA (tRNA) molecules are approximately 80 nucleotides in length. Their secondary structure includes four short double-helical elements and three loops (D, anti-codon, and T loops). Further hydrogen bonds mediate the characteristic L-shaped molecular structure. tRNAs have two regions of fundamental functional importance: the anti-codon, which is responsible for specific mRNA codon recognition, and the 3' end, to which the tRNAs corresponding amino acid is attached (by aminoacyl-tRNA synthetases). tRNAs cope with the degeneracy of the genetic code in two manners: having more than one tRNA (with a specific anti-codon) for a particular amino acid; and 'wobble' base-pairing, i.e. permitting non-standard base-pairing at the 3rd anti-codon position. Lineage: Eukaryota; Metazoa; Arthropoda; Insecta; Coleoptera; Staphylinidae. The record is from RNAcentral.